UACGAAGGGGGCUAGCGUUGCUCGGAAUCACUGGGCGUAAAGCGCACGUAGGCGGCUUUCUAAGUCAGGGGUGAAAUCCUGGAGCUCAACUCCAGAACUGCCUUUGAUACUGGAGAGCUUGAGUCCGGGAGAGGUGAGUGGAACUCCGAGUGUAGAGGUGAAAUUCGUAGAUAUUGGGAAGAACACCGGUGGCGAAGGCGGCGACCUGGUCCGAUACUGACGCUGAGGCGCGAAAGCGUGGGGAGCAAACAGG
RNAcentral lists this ribosomal RNA (253 nucleotides) under uncultured bacterium. RNAcentral describes it as "partial 16S ribosomal RNA". It matches the Rfam family "Bacterial small subunit ribosomal RNA", at positions 524 to 776 of the family's 1533-position model. The record is from RNAcentral.